This 889-nucleotide ribosomal RNA is filed under the name uncultured bacterium. RNAcentral describes it as "bacterial SSU rRNA". It matches the Rfam family "Bacterial small subunit ribosomal RNA", at positions 1 to 932 of the family's 1533-position model. The record is from RNAcentral.
GCCCUUAGAGUUUGAUCCUGGCUCAGGAUGAACGCUGGCGGUAUGCUUUACACAUGCAAGUCGUACGAGAGUUUUUAACUCAAGUGGCGGACGGGUGAGUAACACGUAAGAAUUUGCCUUUAGGAGGGGGAUAACAACUGGAAACGAUUGCUAAUACCCCAUAUGCUUUCGAGUAAAAAGGAUUUUCCGCCUAAAGAGAAGCUUGCGGCUGAUUAGCUUGUUGGUGAGGUAAUGGCUCACCAAGGCGACGAUCAGUAUCUGGUUUGAGAGGACGGAUCAGACACACUGGAACUGAGACACGGUCCAGACUCCUACGGGAGGCAGCAGUGGGGAAUUUUCCGCAAUGGGCGAAAGCCUGACGGAGCAAUACCGCGUGAGGGAUGACGGCCUAUGGGUUGUAAACCUCUUUUUUCAGGGAGGAAUCAAUGACGUGUACCUGAAGAAUAAGCAUCGGCUAACUCCGUGCCAGCAGCCGCGGUAAGACGGAGGAUGCAAGUGUUAUCCGGAAUCACUGGGCGUAAAGCGUCUGUAGGUGGUCAAAUAAGUCAACUGUUAAAUCUUGAGGCUCAACCUCAAAAUCGCAGUCGAAACUAUUCGACUAGAGUAUAGUAGGGGUAAAGGGAAUUUCCAGUGGAGCGGUGAAAUGCGUAGAGAUUGGAAAGAACACCGAUGGCGAAGGCACUUUACUGGGCUAUUACUAACACUGAGAGACGAAAGCUAGGGUAGCAAAUGGGAUUAGAUACCCCAGUAGUCCUAGCCGUAAACAAUGGAUACUAGAUGUUGAACAGAUCGACCUGUGCAGUAUCAAAGCUAACGCGUUAAGUAUCCCGCCUGGGAAGUAUGCUCGCAAGAGUGAAACUCAAAUGAAUUGACGGGAAGGCGAAUUCUG